Molecule: ribosomal RNA, 365 nt
Filed under: uncultured bacterium
Lineage: Bacteria
Description: bacterial SSU rRNA
Rfam family: Bacterial small subunit ribosomal RNA
Source: RNAcentral
AACGAACGCUGGCGGCAUGCCUAACACAUGCAAGUCGAACGCCCUCUUCGGAGGGAGUGGCGCACGGGUGCGUAACGCGUGGGAACCUGCCCUUAGGUUCGGAAUAACUCAGAGAAAUUUGAGCUAAUACCGGAUAAUGUCUUCGGACCAAAAGAUUUAUCGCCUUUGGAUGGGCCCGCGUUGGAUUAGCUAGUUGGUGGGUAAAGGCCUACCAAGGCGACGAUCCAUAGCUGGUCUGAGAGGAUGAUCAGCCACACUGGGACUGAGACACGGCCCAGACUCCUACGGGAGGCAGCAGUGGGAAUAUUGGACAAUGGGCGAAAGCCUGAUCCAGCAAUGCCGCGUGAGUGAUGAAGGCCUUAGGG